Molecule: long non-coding RNA, 1104 nt
Organism: Anastrepha ludens (Mexican fruit fly)
Lineage: Eukaryota; Metazoa; Arthropoda; Insecta; Diptera; Tephritidae
Exons: 2
Source: RefSeq, a predicted model, not a curated record
GCAACUUAACCGCCAACCGAAUAGCCAGAAAAAGGACGGUUCGACUAUUCGAAAAGCACUAGUCGACUAAUGUUGUAUUCGAAUAACUCGUUUAACUUGUCGUCAAUCUUAUUUUGUAGUCUACCUUCAGAAGAGUUGUCCUUUUCUUGAGAAACAAAUAAAAUUUCAAGAAAAGAGAAAUAUUAAAAAUCUCCUUACCGCUACGAGAGACAUGUAAGAGAGAGCACACUGUAUACAAAUUACUCAAAAUCCUAUUUACACAUCAUCCAGGUACAUAUAGUAUGUAUAUAUCUAAAUGUACUCGCAUACGCGGGUAUAAAAUCAAGAGCCCUAAGUGAGUGCUAGUCAUUUUCGGUUGUCGCACAAGUCUGGAUGUGUCCAUCAGAACAAUUAAAGUGGCGCUCGUAAAUCGCAUCAUUAGUUGACUAGACUCCAACGCAACUUGUUAUUCAAAAGUUACCUGCAAUCAACUUACACAACAUCUAUAAACACAUCCAUAUAUAAUAGAUGUACUUAUUUAUUAAAUUAAAAUAAUUUAUUAUAUACAUAUACAUAUAUGUACGUUAAUUUAUAAGUUGCAUAUAAUUUUAUAUGCUAGUGAUAGUAGUUUUAGAAAAACAAAAUUUUUUUACGACAUUUGCAUUUACAUAUCAAGAACUAACAGGGAAUAGAAGAAAUUCCAGCUGAAAUGUUGGUACAUGGUAUUCCUCUCCUUGUACAAAUGGAUUCACUUGAUUUAUUGAUUACCUUUUGUUGGCUAAUUUGUGCUCUUCUAUUCGGUCCAAUCUUGUUCUUUCUAUGCAUUUACUUACCUGAAUUACCUGUUAGAUAUAUAAAACACAUCCGAUCAAUGAGUUAAAAAUAUGCUUGUGUAUACAAAUCUACAACUGUAUUUAAAUGUAAGCAAUUAAUUAUUAAAUUUUGUAUAGUAUUGUCUACUAAAUAAGUUUUAAUGCGACUUGUAUUGCAAUAAAUAUCUAUGGAAAUCACAAAAUUUAUGUUUGUAUUCACUUAUUGAAGUUCAUUGACUUUGUCAUGAAUGCACUGAUAAGUUGAAAUGUUGUUGUUGUUGUAGCAAAAUAAACAUUUAUUUAUUACAUUUUA